This 440-nucleotide ribosomal RNA is filed under the name uncultured bacterium. Its description in RNAcentral is "partial 16S ribosomal RNA". It matches the Rfam family "Bacterial small subunit ribosomal RNA", at positions 338 to 795 of the family's 1533-position model. The record is from RNAcentral.
CCUACGGGAGGCAGCAGUGGGGAAUAUUGCACAAUGGGGGAAACCCUGAUGCAGCGAAGCCGCGUGAGUGAAGAAGUAAUUAGUUAUGUAAAGCUCUAUCAGUCGGGAAGCAAAUGACGGUACCUGAGUAAGAAGCCGCGGCUAACUACGUGCCAGCAGCCGCGGUAAUACGUAGGGGGCAAGCGUUAUCCGGAUUUACUGGGUGUAAAGGGAGCGUAGACGGAAGUGCAAGUCUGGAGGUAAAGGCGGGGGCUCAACCCCCGGACUGCUCUGGAAACUGUACGGCUGGAGUGCAGGAGAGGUAAGUGGAAUUCCUAGUGUAGCGGUGAAAUGCGUAGAUAUUAGGAGGAACACCAGUUGCGAAGGCAGCUUACUGGACUGUAACUGACGUUGAUGCUCGAAAGCGUGGGUAUCAAACAGGAUUAGAUACCCCAGUAGUC